Molecule: non-coding RNA, 4620 nt
Organism: Podarcis lilfordi (Lilford's wall lizard)
Lineage: Eukaryota; Metazoa; Chordata; Lepidosauria; Squamata; Lacertidae
Source: the annotation of a GenBank genome assembly
GCUAUAUAUGUGAUUGGAUCAUGUGAUUUCCUACAUGGAAAUACUUUCAUGGAAUUGAUGAAGAUUCACUGAUAUUAACAAAGGGAAGGGUGAUUUCUAAUAAUUAAGAGGAGAUCUCAGGCUGAAUGUGCGCACAUGCAAGGCAGGUUUGCUUAAUUUGAGGAGAGCUGGAUGCUAGAAAAUGAGCCAAGUACUGUGUAUGUUCUCUUCAUUCCCUUCUCUUUUUAUCAUGUUAUCUCCUCCAAGCCCCAUCUUGAUUACUUUAAUUAAGCCCAUUCUAGCCUCCCUUGGACUCACCUUAGUCUGCUACUCCUGUGUACAUCUCUUCCAUUAUUAUCCUUUCCCUUCUGAGAUCAGACACAUAAUAAUGUAAGCUCUCUGAGGGAGAGACUGUCAUGUCUUGUGUUUCUAUAUACCACUUAGUACUGUACAGUGUUUGAAUUAAACAAAGAUACAGAGGUUAUAGGACUGUGUGGUAUUUUUUUUUUUAGUUUUGCUUUCCAUUAAAUGUCAACACAAUUAAUAUUUCCGAAAACAAAGCAUUUUGCUUAAUUGCAAAGCUACAAUGAGUGGUGGAUCACAAGCAUUGCAUGCAAAAGGUCCCAGGUCCAAUCUCCCACAUUUUCAGAUAAGGCUAAGAAAGACUCUGGAAACCCUGAAAAGCUGCUGCCAGCCAGUGUUGACAAUACUCAGCCAGAUGGACCAACAAUAUAAGGCAGUUACCUAUGUUCUUGUGACUUUUACAAUAGGAAUAGUGGUGAGGUGCAGAUUUAACUUCAUAUAAACGCAAAGUUUAGUGGACUGAGUAGGCAUAUCUCUACACAACGGAUUAGUUUGUACCUGGAACUAGCAGAACCAUGAGAUUUAUGCAUGCCCAGCCCCUGAAACUACAGUUACAAUUCCCAGGACAGGGUGGGGGAUGCUGUCACAGUUAAAAAGAUGUGAAGCAUACAGUGGUACCGGUUACGAACUUAAUUCGUUCUGGAGGUCUGUUCCUAAGCUGAAACCAUUCUUAUCAUGAGGCAUGCUUUCGCUAAUGGGGCCUCCCGCUGCUGCCGCGCUGCCAGCACACGACUUCCACUCGCAUCCCAGGGCAAAGUUCGCAACUAGGGGCAUCUACUUCCGGGUUAGCGGAGGUCAUUACCCGAAGCAUUCGUAAGGAGGACGGUACAUAACAUGAUGUUCCACUGUAUUUUGAAGGGCUAUUGUGUAUGGCUGUGUGUAUCUUAACUCUACAUAUUAAACGAAAUAAUACAAAAAUGUUUUCCUUUCUGUGCACUUGGAAUCUUUUCCAUUAGUCCUACUAGGUAUAUAUUUGUAGUGCAGAUAUUUCCUACUGGAUUAGGAUCAGAGUUACUCCACUCAGACAUAAAACAAAUCACUGUCUCCUAGCCUACUCUACUGCAAAGCGGUAAGAUGCGUGAGAAGGAGGAAAAUGUGACGAUCAAACUAGUGAGGCAGAUGCACCAAUCCUAUAUUUUGCAAACAUGCUUAUGCAUGCCAUUCUGCUUUGUUUCCAACUGGGUUUUAACAGCUCUGCCAAUCCUAUCCCAAAGGAUCAGAUAAAAAUGCCUGGCAGGUAUUCUGUGGAGUGGAGGAAAACAAUCCAUCAAUGAGAGCUGGAGAAGAGAGAUGAGAAGAAUCAGGCUGGAUUGAUGGGAGUGAUGGAACAUAGGACUCUUAAGUGGUUUUUGUUGUUGUUGUUGUUUAUACAAAAUGUCAGUUGUCUCAUUGCUCGGGUUGGGCUAGAUGACCCUCGUGGUCCCUUGCAGUUCUACUAUUCUAUUAUUCUAUGAUUCACAGUAUUUGUAGGCUGACCUAUAAUAAAGUUCUCUGGGCUGCCCAUAACCUAAAAACCCGAUUGUAAAUGAAAACAAAAGCAACAACAGGAGUCUAAAAACAGCUUAAAGCUGAAAAGGACUAAAAGGCCUAGUGUGAAAAAUAGUUUUCACUUGUUGCUGAAAUGUCACCAAAGUAGGUGUUAGGCAGGCCUCUCUGAAGAAGGCAUUCUAUAGCUGGGGCACCACCACUGAAAAGGCCUUCUCUCCCAUAGCUAGCAACUGCACCUUCCUUGGCAGGAGUUUUUGGAGAAAGAGCUUCCAAAGAAGGAUUGGUAUAUGUGUAUCCCUUCAGCUGCCUUGUCCAAAGUUGUGAAGGGCCUUAAAAGACCCCAAAGCAGCACCUUGAAUUGGAUCCGGAAUGGAUGCGAACCAGUGAAGAUGGCAAAAACGGUGGCAGAAUGUGCUCAUCAUCACCCACUCUCAGUUAACAGCCUCACAACCAGAUGCUUAAUAAACUGAAGUUUCUGAACUGGUUUUUUUCAAAGGCAGACCCAUGUGCAGCGCAUUACAGUAGUCCAAAGACAUGCAUACAGAAAGCUACCCAAUUAUGCUUUACCAUAACCCAGACUCUGCGACUGUCAUGCAGAGCAGCUAACCUAAACAAACCUUUCUCCGUCUUUUUUCUUGUUGAAAACUUGGCUGCAACCCCAGCUGACUUGCAUUGGUGCAGAACUCCCACACCCACCCUUGUAUGUUUUUGCAUGAAUGUGAUGGCAUUGCUCACCCUCCCUCUGUGUGUGUGUGUGUGUGUGUGUGUGUGUGUGUGCAUGCAUGCAAAAUAUAAAAAGGCCAACCCCAUUGUUUCUGCUGCGGCCUGCCUGAUCUCGUCCACCCCCACCUCCCAAGUACUGUGAAGCUCUUCUUUUUCCCAUGGGUCUGUUCCAUCCUCCCUUGCCUGCGUUUGUGCUUUUUAUUCCUAGAGCAUGUUGUGAAGAGGAAUGGGGGGGGGGGCAGUAAAAUGUUUCUCCUGCUAGUGCGUAAUUUUACCACGGUGCCUAAGUGAGGGACAGAAGUAAAUUGACCUUUUAACCCUUUUUCCUACCAAGGGAUUAGAGCCUGUUUCCUGUUAAAUCUCUUCAAGAACCAGUUCUAUCCUGUUUGAGAGGGGAAUGCAUCUUGUGUAUGGUGGGGGGCAAGGGGGGGGAGGAAAGAGAUUGUUAUUUAACCUUCUUUAUCCUCUCUCCCUUCCUAUAUUUAUUUCUCUUCUCCCCUUUUCUGGAAUUGCAGCUUUGAUUUGCAAAUAAUAACAUUCGUGUGUGUGUGUGUGUGUGUGUGUGUGUGUGUGUGUGUUUGUAGGUUGACUGGUAUAUUUUAGGUGGCAGUUGCAUGCCGCUGCUAAAUUGUUCUGGCUUCAACUCUUGCCCAGGGAAAGGGGAGGCGCAAAGUGGAAAAUUGCUAACAGGAAAGAGCCGGAAGGCGGAGGGUGAUAAAUAUUGAAAGGGUGGGAUUUAGAUCUCUGCUCAAACAGCUGCGGUGGCUAGAGUGUCACACUGUCUCUCCACAGGUUUACUGACCCAUUUCCAUUCACACGGCUGCCAGUAUCUUAGCAACUGCAACCGUCCCCCAAGAUAAGGCGCUUUGCCUGCCAUUAGUGACUGUGCAACUGUGUCAAGGUUAGCCUGCACCCUAAAAGCCGAACCGCCUUUGCAUGCCCCCCUUCACUUUCCCCCAAGGAGCCGGUGCAGACUUCUUGCACGCACGUGUGUGUAUGCAGACAAAGGCAAUGUCUUGUACAUUCAGCAGGAUGUUGUGACCAAAUCCUAAAGUGGUAGAGGCAACUGUGCUGCUCAGGUGAGGGUCACAUGUUGAAACAAUUCCCUGAAAAUCAAAAUCCCUGCUGUUAGUGUCUCUCUCUCUCUCUCUCUCUCUCUCUCUCUCUCUCUCUCUCUGUGUGUGUGUGUGUGAAUCCCUGCAAAUAAGCAACCAGUAUAAUGGUGAGUGAGAUUCUUGCCCAGCUCUGUGCCUGCUGUGCUGCUUUUCUGUUUGUGUGUGGUGGUGUGUUGUUUUUAACAUCCCUGAGAUUUCAGAAAUGACAUUCCCCACCUGCACAUCGAUUGUGCAUUCUCCUAUUUGGUCCUGCUGCAUGUGAACACCAGGGCCCCCUGUAUUGUGCGGGAUGGGAGAGGGAGAGGGAGAGACCGACAGCUCCCCUGGUUUUCUGUCAUUGUGCUUCCUGGAUCAUGAACGGCCUUUGUGUGGAAAACUAUAUUCACCCAUCAGUGUAGCAAUCCAGGGACAUGCACUUGUGUUCUCUUUGGUUGCAACCCUAGCAUGAGGCAAGACCGAAAUAGCUACUUUUAGGUCUGGGUAGGGGUACUGUAUAGGAUUGGUGGUUCUCUCUCUCCCCUCCUCCCCCCACUUCAUACGGGGUCAAGUUUGACAGGUGGGUGGGAUCACCUGCCUGUCAAUCACUUGAAAUCACAAUGAUGCCAGGUGACUUGAUGUCAGGUGCAGAGCAAAGCAGGCUUGGCUUACCCAAAACAGCCUUGUGGGCAGAAUGUGGAGGACUUAUGGGACUGGUGAGGCCUAUGGGUCAGAGGUUCCUGACCCCUGUUUUAGGUGGUAGAAUGCAGUUGCUGUGAAAGUUGGCAGAGAUGGAAACUGAUGAAUCAUGAGACACAACCCACCAUAAAGCGGGUCCUGUAAAUGCCUCAUCGAAAUCAGCGGGACCCUCAGGUGGAAACAAAUCCUUUUCCUUCCCAGGAGGCUUCUGCAAGAGAACCUCUAGAUGGAUUGUGCCCCAUUUUGUUUAUUUUUUAAAAAAUAUACCCUGCUUUAC